UCUGUGAAAUCCGAAGAUCUCUGCAGCGAAUCGAGGAGAAUCGCUGUGCUCCUCCAUGGCCAGCGAGAGGAUGGGCGACACUGCCUAUGGAGUAAGUGCUAUCCCCUCCUCUUUCUUGUUUGUUUGUUGGCGAGAUGCAGUAGAUCUGAGGGGAUUUUUGUGUUCCAUUUUUUGUUUGGAUCAAGUCCAGAUUAGUAGCUUAAAGCAUAAAAUCGUCCCUUUUUUUUAUUCAAGCGGUGGUAAUGUAGUGUGUAGAUAUGAGGGGAUUUGAGUCCAGAUUAGUAGUUUGAAGCAUACAGUCGUCAGUCCAUUUUUUGUAUGAUUUUCCUUCAGACUUUUUGGCCAUAUCAAUUUUUUUGUGAAAUCAAUUGCAUGUUUGAGGAUUAUUACUGAACUUAAAUCCCCUCAUAUCUAUUACUGAGCCAUCAAUACGAGUGGUUCAGUCCCUUGUUUUUUUAUUUAGAUUUUUUCAGAACCCCUAUCUAAUCAGUAGCAUGUUUUUUUAAUCUUUCUCUAGAAACAAGAGAGAUUAUCACUGAAUGUAUCAGUAGGAGUGGGUAUGUUUAUUUGUUUUUCAGAAUCCCUAUCUAAUCAGUAGCAUAUUUUUUUGAAAUCUUUCUCUGGAAACAUGAGAGAUUACUACUGAAUCUAUCACUAGGAGUGGGCAUGUUUAUUUGUUUUGUCAGUUUUUUUGUGAGACCCUAUUUAAUCAGUAGCAUGUUCGAAUACCUCUUUUUGUGGAAUCAAAAGAGAAUGAUUAAUGAAACUAAGUUUCCAGCAGCAGCAUGUUUUCCGACUUUUCUUUUUUUGCUGAAACAGUAUGAAUCAGUACAAUGUUCAUUUUUUUUGUAUCACAGUUCGAAUGGCUGGAUCUCAGAAUCACGUAGAUGGGAUAUGAAUCAAGAUAAUAUUGUCUUUUGAUAGAUUCAUCUUUUUUUUAUCUCCACAUCACAAUGUAAAUAUAUUUUCUGGUCAUUAGCGUCGACGCCAAUGAUAACUCAUCAUUAUCUCGAAAUCCUUUUUGUUCGGAAGCAUACAAGCAUCACACUAAAAUCAUUUAGCUGAAUGUGUAUGCCUCUCACUAGCACAAAUUUAUGUUUUGGCGCCUUUUUUUGCAUAGGAGAUGGUAUGCAGAGUUUGUCUGAGCCCUUGCAACCACGAGAGGGCAAGCGGCAUCAGCAUGUAUGUCUGGAAGGAGUUAAAAAACGCAGGGGUAACUCCGCAGCCUCUGUUUAUUUUUCAUUUUCAGAUCCUUAUUUCUUAGUUUAUACUCAUCAGCACAGAAUAUAUUUGUUGAAGGUUGACCUUUUUGUUUUCUUUUUUUUUUCUCCCUGAGUUUUGUAGUAGAGGGGAGCCCCUAGUUAACUAGUUGUUUACAUUGAAUCAUUGAUUUUUUUAUUCAGUGUGUUAAGCUCUUCCUGUGUGGUUAGAAAGUAGAAACAUACUUACUGUCAUAAUAGGGAUUUUAUAAGUCUAAAAAAAUAGGGCUCAUUUGUUAAUGUUUGUAGCUUGGCUUUACUUAUAGAAAGCACGGCCAUGAUUUUAACUAGCAGCAGCAAUUAUCUUUUUUGAUUUUGUUAGUGCUUUACUAGCGACGAUCUUCUCUUUUUUGUAAAUGUGUUUUUUUGCACUGAUAUGUUGGUUCAUGUUUUAAGAGUUCAGUGUAUCUUUUUUUUCUAGCCAUUUUUUUGACCCAUGUAUAAUGUAUAAUGUAGAGUGUAGAUUUUUGUAGAAUUCACAGUUUGAUGUUCAUGUUCAAACCAUGUAGGUUGUUUCCUGUAGAUUUUUGUUGCUUGUUCCUGUCAUUUGUAAUUUUUCUGAUUUGUAGCUCGUUUCCUGUAGCUUUUUUUUUCUUCAUUUUUUGUCGUUUUGUUCACUCAUGCAUAUAUGCUAAUUUAGACUGAAUUUUAGGUUGUAGCAGCUUGACUCUCUUUUUUUAUAUCAGUGCUCAACGCAUCAGGCAGAUUCAUGAUCGUUUGUUUAUUUGAUGUAUCUUUUGUUACAAUAUUUUUGUUAUCCAGCACAUGCUAAGCUCUGCAUGUGUGGCUAAAGAGGAGAAACACACUUACUGUCAUAAUAGGGAUUUUUACUACAUUUUUUCGGACAUGAUUUUUUUCAUAACCAUGAGGAUGCCUUUUCUAUUUUUUACAAUGAUUAUUUACUACACUUUUUGGGUUUUUGUUUUUCUGUCCAACAAAACAUGUUGUGUCAUGCAACGAAUGGUUUCGUUUCAACAACCCGACAAGAGAUAGGCUGAACUUUAUGGCAAACAAACGGAUGUACACUAGUCAUGCAACUGUAAGUGUUGUACGCGACAACAACUGUAUGUCUUUUCCAACAUGGUUGCAAUUGGGGCUUUAUUUUGUUGGAGGAGUCGACGAGGAGAGAGAGGGGGGAGCAGUUCGCAUGUUUUUUCUAAUUAUGGUUUGCAUGCCCAAGUGUAGUCAUGCAACUGCAUGUGUUCUAACUAGGGUGCAUUUUUGUGCAUUUUGUUUUUCAUCGCGAGGGACCGAUGAGAAGAGGACUAGUUGCAUGUCCCACAAACUACAAUCAGAGGGGACAACAGAGAGGGAGGGGGGCUUAGUUGCAUUCCUCGGUCGCAAUUGCAUGUCUUCCAACUAUGCUUGCAACCACGCUUUUGUUUUGUCAGAGGGACCGACGAGGGGAGGGGCCAGUUGCAUGCCCAAUUAUAUUUACGCAACUGCAUGUCUACCAACAUAGUUGCAACUGGGAUCCCUUUUUUUGUUGGAGGGGGCGGUUGGAAGAGAGACGGGGCUAGUUGCAUGUCCAACUAUAGUCACGUAACUGCAUGUCUUCCAACAUAGUUGCAACUGGGGAGGCCUUUGUUUUGUCGGAGGGGGCAGCGGGAAGAGAGAGGGCACCAGUUGCAUGUCCAACUAUAGUCACGUAACGGCAUGUCUUCCAAUGUAGUUGCAACUACACGUCUUCUAACUUGAUUGUAACUAUGCUUUUUAUUUUUUAUUGGAGGGACCGAUGAUGAGAGGUCCCAUUUGCAUGUCCCACAUUAGUCACGCAACUGCAUGUCUUCUAACUUGGUUGCAACUAGGAUUUUGUUUUUGUCGGCGGGACCGAUGAGGAGAGGGGUCAAUUGCAUGUCCCACACUAGUCAUGCAACUGCAUGUCUUCUAACAUGGUUGCAACUGGGCUUUGGCUUUGUCAGAGGGACCGACAAGGAGAAGAGCUAGUUGCAGGUCCAACUAUAGUCAUGUCUUCAAAAAUAGUUGCAAAUGGGGCCCUUUGUUUUCUCGGAGGGAGCGACGGGAAGAGAGAGGGGGGCCAGUUGCAUGUCAAACUGUAGUGACGGAACUUNNNNNNNNNNAGUUGCAAAUGGGGCCCUUUGUUUUCUCGGAGGGAGCGACGGGAAGAGAGAGGGGGGCCAGUUGCAUGUCAAACUAUACUGACGGAACUUGCAUGUCUUCCAAACAUAGUUGCAACUGGGAUGGGGGAGGGGGCUUUGUUUUGUGGAGGGGGCGACGGCAAGAGAGAGGGGGCUAGUUGCAUGUCAAACUAUAGUCAUGCAACUACAAGUGGCUUUGUUUUGUCGGAGGGCGCGACAGGGAGAGAGUAGGGCCAGUUGCACGCCCAACUAUAGUCAUGCAACUGCAUGUCUUACAACAUGGUUGCAGUUACAUGUCUUCUAACUUGAUUGCAACUUGGGCUUUUGUUUUGUUGGAGGGACUGACGAGGAGAGGGGCCAGUUGCAUGUCCUACACUAGGGCACGCAAUUGCAUGUCUUCUAACUUGGUUGCAACUAGGGCCUUUGUUUUGUCGAAGCGGGUGGCGGGAAGAGAGAGGGCGCCAAUUGCAUGUCCAACUAUAGUCACGCAACUCCAUGUGUUCCAACUUGGUUGUAACUCGACUUUUCUUUGUCGGAGGGACCGACGAGGAGAGGGGCGAGUUGCAUGUCCCAUAUUAGGUAGUUAACUGCAUUUCUUCUAGCUUGGUUGCAACUGGGGCCUUUGUUUUGUCGAAAUAGGUGGCAGGAAGAGAGAGGGCGUCAUUUGCAUGUCCAACUAUAGUCAAGAAAAUGCAUGUCUUCCAACAUGGUGGCAACAUCAUGUCUUCUAACUUGGUUGCAACUCGGCUUUUGUUUUGUCGGAGGGACCAACGAGGAGAGCAGUGAGUUGCAUGUCCCACACUAGGCACGCAACUGCAUGCCUUCUAGCUUGGUUGCAACUGGGGCCUUUGUUUUUUCAAAGNNNNNNNNNNUCGCAACUACACGUCUUCUAACUUGGUUGCAACUAGGUUUUUCUUUUUGUCGAAGAGGCCCAACAAUGAGAGGGGCCAGUUGCAAGUCCUACACUAGUCACGCAACUGCAUGUCUUCUAACUUGAUUGCAAUUGGGCUUUCGUUUUGUCGAAGAGACCGGCGACAUGAGGGGCCAGUUGCGCCUCUCAUACUAGCCACGCAACUGCAUGCCUUCCAACAUGGUUGCAACUACAAUCACGCAACUACAUGUCUUCCAACAUAGUUGCAACUGGGGGCCUUUGUUUUUCUCAGGGGAUGGGGGGAGGGGUAAGAGGUAAGAGAGAGGGAGCUAGUUGCAUGUCAAACUAUAGUCACGCAACUGCAUGUCUUCUAACUUGGUUGCAACCGGGGGGCCUUUGUUUUGUCGGAGGGGCGGCUGGAAGAGAGAGGGCGCCGGUUGCAUGUCCAACUAUAGUCACGCAACUGCAUGCCUCCCAACAUAGUUACAACUGGGGUCUUUCUUUUUGUCAGAGGGGGCGGCGGGAAGAGAAAGGGGGCCAGUUGCAUGUCAAUCAUCAUCCAAAUCAUCAUCAAAACUCAUGCCCUCUGCGAAACUAGGUCCAUGGGUAGAACCAUCAACGGCUUCAUCAUACUCCAAGUCAUCCUCACCUUCAUCAAACUCUAAAUCAUCGUCAUUCAUGUUUUGUUCUGUGUAUCUAGGUUGGUAGCUACAACCUGCAUGUUCUUCAGUUGUGUUGCCAUCCUAGCUCCAACUAGGGAAACCUUCUGCCCACCACAUUUUCUGCAUGUUGUUGGUUGCCCCCUGUCGUUUUGUCCUUGCAAACGCCCAUACUGUUCGGUUAACAUGUACAUGUCAUUCUGCAUAGUAAUAAGAAGAAUAAGAAAUGAGGACAUUUUUAUUGUCACACGUAGGGCAAAGGACUGGGGGGAAUAUGUAUACAUAUGUAAAUGAGUCAAUUUUAUUUGUACGAAAACCCCCUGCCACGAAACUUGUUGCUGACCAAAAUGUUGGAAUCCACCAAUUCUAGUCUGUCACCACAAAACAUGUAAUGUAAUUUCCAUUUUCCUUUUUGUCAUUUUCCCCAUUUUUUCCCCUUAUACAUCUCAACAUCAACAAAAAAAAGGCACUUUAAGUACCUCUUGACUAUCAGCCAUCAACAACUGUGUGUAACUCAUGUUGCUACCUCCAAGUAAAUUCAUUUCCUGCAUUUUUACUUUUUGUAUGUUAGAAUUUGAUAAUAAUUUAAGUUUUUUCUCUCUUUUUUUCAUAGUUACAAGGUGUGCAACGGAGUUCCACAUUAUUCAUCAAAGCAGAGAACUUAUAGAGGGGACAAGCUUUCCUUUUUUUGCCAUGAAAAGCUAGUACAUGUGGUGCUAAUGUAAUUGAAGAUGGUUGGAAUGCUAGAUGCAUCCCAGCUUGCUGCAGUUGCACAUGUGGGAUACCAAGGUAUGGCUGCUGCAAACACAAAGUCGUGUUUUCGUCAGUUUACUGUUAUUUAACUUUUGUUCCCUUUUCAUUUUUGUUGUCACCCACAAGGAUAUGUAAUUACAAUCUAAGGAAUUUUUUUUGCAUUUUUUUCCUUCUCACCUGAAUUGGGGUCUGCAAACUAUGCGGAGUUGGAGCCCAACUGUUCGGAAUUUUUUGUGCCAAAGUAUUCUUCGGAUGCUACACAAAAUGCAGGAAACAGUAUGUGUCAAUCUGAAUGCAUGAGAUAUCUUUUUUAUUUUUCUGCAUUAUACAAACAACCACAUUCAUCAGUUUUAUUAUGUGUCAAGGACAGAAAGAUUCAACUUUUUUUUCUUCAUUCUAUAAUUUUUGGGAAGCAAGGAAUGAAAGAUUCAAAUUUUCUCUGUCCAGAACAAGUGUUUCACCAUGCUAAGUAUAUUUUUUGGGUCAAAAUAGUGCAUUCAAGAUAGACAGUCUCCACCCCAAAGUGUAAAUCUGGGAAUCCAAGGAAUAGAUCAUAACUUUCAGCCAUGUCUGUUUCUACUGUGUGCUUUUUUUCCUGGAGCUUUUGUAGUAGUUUGACUGAACAUAUGGAAAAAGCACCAUCAUGGAAUUUACCAUCUGUUAAUCAACUACUACAUGUGCAGCAUGCUGAGACAGAAUGAACAACAUGCAGGUAUAUCUAUAAAAAAAUUGAAUUUUUUUCAGGCAGAUUGAACAACAUGCUGAGAUAGACGAAGUUUUCCCAUGAGUUUUUCUCAGAGACAAACAUGUGUGCCCAUCAGGAAAGUGCCAUACUGCUCCAAGAUUGCUGGGGAAAAAAAAUAAGAGAAGUAAGAAGGAAAUCACAAAUUUUUCAGAUCCAAAAUUAACAGGGGAAGAAGAACAUGAAAAGGGAGGAGCUGUAGAUGGAUCCAUGGAUGCAGCGGGGAGGGUUUUGCCUGGGUGGUGUUGUCACAAAGAAGGAACGAAGAACUGGCACAGGAACGAAAGUUUUUCCUGUCGUUUAGCUACAAAAAUGGGC
This 6701-nucleotide long non-coding RNA is filed under the name Triticum aestivum (bread wheat). RNAcentral describes it as "long non-coding RNA (TAES_LNC028371)". Lineage: Eukaryota; Viridiplantae; Streptophyta; Magnoliopsida; Poales; Poaceae. The record is from RNAcentral.